Molecule: non-coding RNA, 240 nt
Organism: Pelobates cultripes (western spadefoot toad)
Lineage: Eukaryota; Metazoa; Chordata; Amphibia; Anura; Pelobatidae
Source: the annotation of a GenBank genome assembly
GUUUGAACCUAGAGGAAGAUUGAUUUGGCUUCUGCUGAAAAAUGGAAAAACAUACAUUUGCCUUUUGCUGAAGAGCUACAUUGGAGAGCUCCUUUCUUGAGGUCCACAUAACUCCCUUUUUUAAAAUCUGCAUCAAGAUUAAAUAAACAUAAUUUCAUUUACCAUGAAGCUUACCAUGAGCUUUCUAUCUAUAUUUGUUGCCUUUGUUGGCAUAAUAAGUUUCACAUUUUUGGUAGUGGC